This 525-nucleotide long non-coding RNA is filed under the name Capsicum annuum. RNAcentral's name for it is "long non-coding RNA (CANN_LNC016459)". The record is from RNAcentral. Lineage: Eukaryota; Viridiplantae; Streptophyta; Magnoliopsida; Solanales; Solanaceae.
UCCUUCCUUAAUUUUUGCAAGCUUGUCUUAAAUCAUAUGAUUUUGCUACAAGUUUCAACUACAUGAGACAGUGUCUAUAAACCAACUUGACUGACAUGUUUCAUAUAACUUUUUCUGUUUGUCAAUCAUCAAAAUUAUAUCGUACCCAACAGGCAUGUAUCUACAUGUGGUUGAUAUUGAUGAAUUUCUUAUCGUUUUGAAGUAAUGGUCAUGGAAAAGAAGGGGGCCUCUAGAUUUGCUAGUUUAUUUUAUCUAAUUAGUGUUUUGGCAGGAACAUGUAGAAAGUUUGUCUGUAUUAGGAAAAUCUCUCUUCAAGGGGAAACAAUAGUUGGCAUGCAGCUAUUUCUUUUAAUUUGAUAAUUGUGGUGUUUGCCUGUUUUGGGCAAGUUUAUAAGUUCCUCGAUUAAUUUUAUAGAAUAUCUGUCAUCUCUCAUCAACAAUCGAUUAGCAUGUAACCUUAAGCCAUGUGUAAGUUUAAUCCAAGGGUUAUCUUACGAAUGAUAAUAUAAUCUAGUUUCUUUGUUG